Molecule: ribosomal RNA, 502 nt
Filed under: uncultured bacterium
Lineage: Bacteria
Description: partial 16S ribosomal RNA
Rfam family: Bacterial small subunit ribosomal RNA
Source: RNAcentral
AUUGAACGCUGGCGGAAUGCUUUACACAUGCAAGUCGAACGGCAGCACGGGAGCUUGCUCCUGGUGGCGAGUGACGAACGGGUGAGUAAUACAUCGGAACGUACCCAGUUGUGGGGGAUAACACAUCGAAAGAUGUGCUAAUACCGCAUACGACCUGAGGGAGCAAGGGGGGGAUCGCAGGACCUCUCGCAGUUGGAGCGGCCGAUGUCGGAUUAGCGAGUUGGGAGGGUAAAGGCCUACCAAGGCGACGAUCCGUAGCUGGUCUGAGAGGACGACCAGCCACACGGGGACUGAGACACGGCCCAGACUCCUACGGGAGGCAGCAGUGGGGAAUUUUGGACAAUGGGGGCAACCCUGAUCCAGCCAUUCCGCGUGAGUGAAGAAGGCCUUCGGGUUGUAAAGCUCUUUCGGCAGGAACGAAAAGGUGGGUCCUAAUACGAUCUGCUCAUGACGGUACCUGAAGAAGAAGCACCGGCUAACUACGUGCCAGCAGCCGCCGUAA